AGAGCUCAAAUUUAAAAUCUGGCGUGCCUCUGGCCGUCCGAGUUGUAGUCUGGAGAAGCGUUUUCCGCGUUGGACCGUGUAUAAGUCCCUUGGAACAGGGCGUCACAGAGGGUGAGAAUCCCGUCUUUGACACGGACUGCCAAUGCUUUGUGAUGCGCUCUCAAAGAGUCGAGUUGUUUGGGAAUGCAGCUCAAAAUGGGUGGUAAAUUCCAUCUAAAGCUAAAUAUUGGCGAGAGACCGAUAGCGAA
This 248-nucleotide ribosomal RNA is filed under the name Thelephoraceae sp. 3 CRJH-2017. RNAcentral's name for it is "partial 28S ribosomal RNA". It matches the Rfam family "Eukaryotic large subunit ribosomal RNA", at positions 104 to 344 of the family's 3401-position model. Lineage: Eukaryota; Fungi; Basidiomycota; Agaricomycetes; Thelephorales; Thelephoraceae. The record is from RNAcentral.